GGCUGGAGAGAACGAGACAACACCGGUCCGUUAUCCCUCACCAACGCACUGACGGCACCGGUUGCUGCGUUUUUAAGUCCUGAUGGAUCUAUUUAUUUACGGCACACUGCGAUAAUGAAACAACGUCCGCAGAAGCUUCCAGACAACAUGUUAUAGCACAGGACCUGCAAGAAGAACAUUUGACUACUCCAGCAGCACGCUGGAGAAAAAAUUAAUAAUAAUCUUUGCUGCCUGCCAACACUCACCGAGCAGGAGGAUUUUGACAACAUUGGUCUCCCGUUUGGCCUGUUCAUCACUAAGAUCUUGCUCUAUUUUAGAGCUGUGGCCUCGAGCCUUCUUGUCUUCCUCAGAGACAACCUGAUGAAGGCACAGUCCCAUGCAAAUCUGCAGAACGAGGGGAUUUUACUUUGACUAGAGUGGUUCUGACGGUAAACUGAUCGACAUUUCAUAACAAAGCAGCAAUAUCAAUGAAGUAAGCAAUCGAAACACUUUGAGGCCUCACUCAAAGCGCAAGGGGGGGGGUAUAACUUGCAACGCAUAACAUGAACCAAAGACUGCUACCUUCAGCGGACCGGGCAGCAUUUGGAGGCAGCAAAACAUAUCACUUUUUUUUUUUAGCACGGUUCGUAGUGCCCUCAAAACCCCGGAGAAAUCCGCAGAGAAUUGUUUUGACAACGAUGGAAACGAGCAGACGAAGUGACGCCCAGGAACGGAAUCGAGGAGACUGAAUUUGCUGAUUGAGAGCACGUGGGCACAAACUGGCCUUAUUGACGAUUCACGAACGCAAUUAGCGGCGCGCGCAGCUCAUUAGGUUUCACUGUAAUUUAACUACGUUAUCAUUUUAUACACUUAGUCAUUUUAAUAUGUGUAAGUCAUACCAGUACUUUAUAUUCUCCCUUGUGCCCCGGCCCCUGCCGUGGUCGUAUAUGAGAACUAACCCAUAAGGGCAGACCAGUCGGUAUAUGGAUAUGGAAGCCUGCACCCCAUCCAUGGUGGCUUCCGUCCUUCGGAGGAGACAGAAAACCGAGGUCCUGACUCACUGAGGUCAUAAAAGAUCCCGGGGGACUUAUUGCAAAGAGUAGGGGUUGCCCCGGUCUCCUGGCCCAACCAGGCUCAUUAAAUCUGGCCCCCUAAUCAUCCUUCUGUAUGGCUGACUCAUUAAUUCCCUCACUCUCCACCACAAGCUGGUGUGUGGUGAGCGUUCUGGCGCAGAUUGGCUGCCGUGCAUCACCCAAGUGGGUGCUACACACUGGUGGUGGUUAGUGAGGUCCCCCCUUCACUGUAAAGCGUCUUUGAUUGUCUAGAAAAGCGCUAUAUAAAUUCAAUCUAUUAUUAUUAAUAUUAUUAUUAUUAUUAUUAUUCUACCUCUGCCUCUCCCUAGUGGUGAGGCAGCAGAGGAACAAGAGAGAAUGACAGCAUAUUUGCAUAAUGUGUUCAAUUAUCCCAUCUUGGACCAUUUUGUGUUCUGCGUAGCCUGUUUUCAAUCUUGUGUGCGCCUUCCUUAUUAUAUAAUUGUAAACCAAUCAAUUAUAUGCUUCAUGUUGGCACACAGGAGAAUUAUUUCUUCGAAAUCUUUAUGAAAUCAUUAUUUGAAAAGUGACCUGACAUUGUCUUCCACAAUGCUUACCUUCAUUAUGAGUUGAAUAUAUAUAUGUAUAUCUAUGACCAAACACAUUUUCAACGUUCAUAGACAUGAUGACAAACACUGUUUAGUUUAGAUUAAGUGUGUGUUAUUAUUGUUGUCGUGAUAUACUGUAGGUCAUCUUCAACAUUGUGUACAGUAUUUGUCAUUGAGCAUUUCUCCAUAACAUACAUAGUAUAGCCUACAAUGAGUACAUUCCAACUUGAAAUACAGUACAUAGUUACACUUUGAAACAAUCAAAACAAUUCAACCAAAGUUAAAGAAAAGGUGGUCAGCAAAAUAUA
Long non-coding RNA from Gadus macrocephalus (Pacific cod), 1926 nucleotides. RefSeq lists it as uncharacterized. The record is from RefSeq and is a predicted model, not a curated record. The transcript is spliced from 2 exons. Lineage: Eukaryota; Metazoa; Chordata; Actinopteri; Gadiformes; Gadidae.